This 700-nucleotide ribosomal RNA is filed under the name uncultured Bacteroidota bacterium. Its description in RNAcentral is "bacterial SSU rRNA". It matches the Rfam family "Bacterial small subunit ribosomal RNA", at positions 91 to 789 of the family's 1533-position model. Lineage: Bacteria; Pseudomonadati; Bacteroidota. The record is from RNAcentral.
GAGACCGGCGCACGGGUGCGUAACGCGUAUGCAAUCUACCUUUUACAGGGGAAUAGCCCAGAGAAAUUUGGAUUAAUGCCCCAUAGUAUGUAUGAAUCGCAUGGUUUAUACAUUAAAGUUCCAACGGUAAAAGAUGAGCAUGCGUCCCAUUAGUUAGUUGGUAAGGUAGCGGCUUACCAAGACGAUGAUGGGUAGGGGUCCUGAGAGGGAGAUCCCCCACACUGGUACUGAGACACGGACCAGACUCCUACGGGAGGCAGCAGUGAGGAAUAUUGGACAAUGGGCGCAAGCCUGAUCCAGCCAUGCCGCGUGCAGGAAGAAGCAUCUAUGGUGUGUAAACUGCUUUUGUACAGGAAGAAACACUCCCUCGUGAGGGAGCUUGACGGUACUGUAAGAAUAAGGAUCGGCUAACUCCGUGCCAGCAGCCGCGGUAAUACGGAGGAUCCAAGCGUUAUCCGGAAUCAUUGGGUUUAAAGGGUCCGUAGGCGGUUUGAUAAGUCAGUGGUGAAAGCCCAUCGCUCAACGAUGGAACGGCCAUUGAUACUGUCAGACUUGAAUUACUAGGAAGUAACUAGAAUAUGUAGUGUAGCGGUGAAAUGCUUAGAUAUUACAUGGAAUACCAAUUGCGAAGGCAGGUUACUACUAGUGGAUUGACGCUGAUGGACGAAAGCGUGGGGAGCGAACAGGAUUAGAUACCCUG